Nelumbo nucifera (sacred lotus) is the source of this 85-nucleotide non-coding RNA. The record is from Rfam. Lineage: Eukaryota; Viridiplantae; Streptophyta; Magnoliopsida; Proteales; Nelumbonaceae.
GAAUGAAUUGAUGAUGAGAUUGUUUCCCUAUUGGUUUGAUUGCCGAUAUGAUGGCAACACCAGUAUUAGCUCUAGCUGAUCAUUC